UGGCUCACAUUGAACGCUGGCGGCAGGCCUAACACAUGCAAGUCGAACGGUAACAGGAAGCAGCUUGCUGCUUCGCUGACGAGUGGCGGACGGGUGAGUAAUGUCUGGGAAACUGCCUGAUGGAGGGGGAUAACUACUGGAAACGGUAGCUAAUACCGCAUAACGUCGCAAGACCAAAGAGGGGGACCUUCGGGCCUCUUGCCAUCGGAUUGCCCAGAUGGGAUUAGCUAGUAGGUGGGGUAACGGCUCACCUAGGCGACGAUCCCUAGCUGGUCUGAGAGGAUGACCAGCCACACUGGAACUGAGACACGGUCCAGACUCCUACGGGAGGCAGCAGUGGGGAAUAUUGCACAAUGGGCGCAAGCCUGAUGCAGCCAUGCCGCGUGUAUGAAGAAGGCCUUCGGGUUGUAAAGUACUUUCAGCGGGGAGGAAGGGAGUAAAGUUAAUACCUUUGCUCAUUGACGUUACCCGCAGAAGAAGCACCGGCUAACUCCGUGCCAGCAGCCGCGGUAAUACGGAGGGUGCAAGCGUUAAUCGGAAUUACUGGGCGUAAAGCGCACGCAGGCGGUUUGUUAAGUCAGAUGUGAAAUCCCCGGGCUCAACCUGGGAACUGCAUCUGAUACUGGCAAGCUUGAGUCUCGUAGAGGGGGGUAGAAUUCCAGGUGUAGCGGUGAAAUGCGUAGAGAUCUGGAGGAAUACCGGUGGCGAAGGCGGCCCCCUGGACGAAGACUGACGCUCAGGUGCGAAAGCGUGGGAGCAAAACAGGAUUAGAUACCCUGGUAGUCCACGCCGUAAACGAUGUCGACUUGGAGGUUGUGCCCUUGAGGCGUGGCUUCCGGAGCUAACGCGUUAAGUCGACCGCCUGGGGAGUACGGCCGCAAGGUUAAAACUCAAAUGAAUUGACGGGGGCCCGCACAAGCGGUGGAGCAUGUGGUUUAAUUCGAUGCAACGCGAAGAACCUUACCUGGUCUUGACAUCCACGGAAGUUUUCAGAGAUGAGAAUGUGCCUUCGGGAACCGUGAGACAGGUGCUGCAUGGCUGUCGUCAGCUCGUGUUGUGAAAUGUUGGGUUAAGUCCCGCAACGAGCGCAACCCUUAUCCUUUGUUGCCAGCGGUCCGGCCGGGAACUCAAAGGAGACUGCCAGUGAUAAACUGGAGGAAGGUGGGGAUGACGUCAAGUCAUCAUGGCCCUUACGACCAGGGCUACACACGUGCUACAAUGGCGCAUACAAAGAGAAGCGACCUCGCGAGAGCAAGCGGACCUCAUAAAGUGCGUCGUAGUCCGGAUUGGAGUCUGCAACUCGACUCCAUGAAGUCGGAAUCGCUAGUAAUCGUGGAUCAGAAUGCCACGGUGAAUACGUUCCCGGGCCUUGUACACACCGCCCGUCACACCAUGGGAGUGGGUUGCAAAAGAAGUAGGUAGCUUAACCUUCGGGAGGGCGCUUACCACUUUGUGAUUCAUGACUGGGGUGAAGUCGUAACAAGGUAACCGU
This 1492-nucleotide ribosomal RNA is filed under the name uncultured bacterium. RNAcentral describes it as "16S ribosomal RNA". It matches the Rfam family "Bacterial small subunit ribosomal RNA". The record is from RNAcentral.